AAGGCAUUGGCGGAAGGCCACAAGCCGCUUGAUCCUUCCGGGGUCAACAUUGGUAUCGGCGGUCAUGACUUGCCGAUGCUCAUC
This 84-nucleotide transfer RNA is filed under the name Paenibacillus solanacearum. Its description in RNAcentral is "tRNA-Gly". Lineage: Bacteria; Bacillati; Bacillota; Bacilli; Caryophanales; Paenibacillaceae. The record is from RNAcentral.